This 64-nucleotide transfer RNA is filed under the name Brachionus plicatilis. Its description in RNAcentral is "tRNA-Phe". It matches the Rfam family "tRNA". Rfam says of the family: Transfer RNA (tRNA) molecules are approximately 80 nucleotides in length. Their secondary structure includes four short double-helical elements and three loops (D, anti-codon, and T loops). Further hydrogen bonds mediate the characteristic L-shaped molecular structure. tRNAs have two regions of fundamental functional importance: the anti-codon, which is responsible for specific mRNA codon recognition, and the 3' end, to which the tRNAs corresponding amino acid is attached (by aminoacyl-tRNA synthetases). tRNAs cope with the degeneracy of the genetic code in two manners: having more than one tRNA (with a specific anti-codon) for a particular amino acid; and 'wobble' base-pairing, i.e. permitting non-standard base-pairing at the 3rd anti-codon position. The record is from RNAcentral. Lineage: Eukaryota; Metazoa; Rotifera; Eurotatoria; Ploima; Brachionidae.
GACCUGAUAGCUUAAACUUAAAGUGAUAGUUUGAAGCACUAUAGAUAUCUCCUGAUUCGGGUCA